RNAcentral lists this ribosomal RNA (254 nucleotides) under uncultured bacterium. Its description in RNAcentral is "partial 16S ribosomal RNA". It matches the Rfam family "Bacterial small subunit ribosomal RNA", at positions 524 to 776 of the family's 1533-position model. The record is from RNAcentral.
UACGUAGGGUGCGAGCGUUGUCCGGAAUUAUUGGGCGUAAAGAGCUCGUAGGCGGUGUGUCGCGUCGGCCGUGAAAACCUGCAGCUUAACUGUGGGCUUGCGGUCGAUACGGGCAUCACUGGAGUUCGGCAGGGGAGACUGGAAUUCCAGGUGUAGCGGUGAAAUGCGUAGAUAUCUGGAGGAACACCGGUGGCGAAGGCGACAUCCUGGACCGGUAUUGACGCUGAGGCGCGAAAGCCAGGGGAGCAAACGGG